This 236-nucleotide ribosomal RNA is filed under the name uncultured bacterium. Its description in RNAcentral is "partial 16S ribosomal RNA". It matches the Rfam family "Bacterial small subunit ribosomal RNA", at positions 100 to 334 of the family's 1533-position model. The record is from RNAcentral.
CGGCACGGGUGAGUAACACGUAUCCAACCUGCCGUCUACUCUUGGACAGCCUUCUGAAAGGAAGAUUAAUACAAGAUGGCAUCAGGAGUUCACAUGUUCACAUGAUUAAAGGUAUUCCGGUAGACGAUGGGGAUGCGUUCCAUUAGAUAGUAGGCGGGGUAACGGCCCACCUAGUCUUCGAUGGAUAGGGGUUCUGAGAGGAAGGUCCCCCACAUUGGAACUGAGACACGGUCCAA